This 913-nucleotide ribosomal RNA is filed under the name uncultured archaeon. RNAcentral's name for it is "bacterial SSU rRNA". It matches the Rfam family "Archaeal small subunit ribosomal RNA", at positions 1 to 922 of the family's 1478-position model. The record is from RNAcentral.
UUCCGGUUGAUCCUGCCGGAGGCGACCGCUUUUGGAGUUCGAUUAAGCCAUGCGAGUAGAAAGAAAUUAGAUUCUUUGCGAACUGCUCAGUAACACGUGGAUAACCUGCCCUAUGCUCCGGAAUAACCUCGGGAAACUGAGAAUAAUACCGGAUAGAUCACAACGCCUGGAACGGUGUGUGGUUGAAAGAUUACGGCAUAGGAUGGGUCUGCGGCGUAUCAGGUUGUAGGGGGUGUAAAGGACCUCCUAGCCAUCGACGCGUACGGGUGUUGGGAGACAUAGCCCGGAGAUGGAUUCUGAGACACGAAUCCAGACCCUACGGGGUGCAGCAGGCGCGAAAACUUCACACUGCAGGAAACUGUGAUGAGGGAACUCCAAGUGCACGCACUUAGUGUGUGCUUUUUUCAACUAUUAAUCGGUUGAAGAAUAAGGGCUGGGAAAGACCGGUGCCAGCCGCCGCGGUAAUACCGGCAGCUCAAGCGGUCGUCGCUUUUAUUGGGCCUAAAACGUCCGUAGCCUGUUUGGUAAAUCUGUGGGUAAAUCAACCAGCUUAACUGGUUGAAUUCUGCAGAGACUGCCAGACUAGGGACCGGGAGAGGUGUGGGGUACUCUAGGGGUAGGGGUAAAAUCCUGUCAUCCUUAGAGGACCACCAGUUGCGAAGGCGCCACACUAGAACGGAUCCGACGGUCAGGGACGAAGCCUAGGGGCACGAACCGGAUUAGAUACCCGGGUAGUCCUAGGUGUAAACGCUGUGAACUUGGUGUCGGGAGUCCGCAAUGGGCCCCCGGUGCCGGAGUGAAGAUGUUAAGUUCACUGCCUGGGGAGUACGGUCGCAAGGCUGAAACUUAAAGGAAUUGGCGGGGGAGCACUGCAACGGGAGGAGCGUGCGGUUUAAUUGGAUUCAACGCCGGA